Molecule: unclassified non-coding RNA, 346 nt
Filed under: soil metagenome
Description: partial contains 5.8S ribosomal RNA, internal transcribed spacer 2, and large subunit ribosomal RNA
Rfam family: 5.8S ribosomal RNA (bases 4-119)
Source: RNAcentral
GAUAAGAACGUAGCAAAAUGCGAUAAGUAAUGUGAAUUGCAGAAUUCAGUGAAUCAUCGAAUCUUUGAACGCACAUUGCGCCCGCUGGUAUUCCGGCGGGCAUGCCUGUUCGAGCGUCAUUUCAACCCUCAAGCCCCCGGGUUUGGUGUUGGGGAUCGGCUCUGCCCUUCUGGGCGGUGCCGCCCCCGAAAUACAUUGGCGGUCUCGCUGCAGCCUCCAUUGCGUAGUAGCUAACACCUCGCAACUGGAACGCGGCGCGGCCAUGCCGUAAAACCCCAACUUCUGAAUGUUGACCUCGGAUCAGGUAGGAAUACCCGCUGAACUUAAGCAUAUCAAUAAGCGGAGA